GACGAACGCUGGCGGCGUGCUUAACACAUGCAAGUCGAACGGAAAGGCCCUGCUUUUGUGGGGUGCUCGAGUGGCGAACGGGUGAGUAACACGUGAGUAACCUGCCCUUGACUUUGGGAUAACUUCAGGAAACUGGGGCUAAUACCGGAUAGGAGCUCCUGCUGCAUGGUGGGGGUCGGAAAGUUUCGGCGGUUGGGGAUGGACUCGCGGCUUAUCAGCUUGUUGGUGGGGUAGUGGCUUACCAAGGCUUUGACGGGUAGCCGGCCUGAGAGGGUGACCGGCCACAUUGGGACUGAGAUACGGCCCAGACUGCUACGGGAGGCAGCAGUGGGGAAUAUUGCACAAUGGGCGGAAGCCUGAUGCAGCAACGCCGCGUGCGGGAUGACGGCCUUCGGGUUGUAAACCGCUUUCGCCUGUGACGAAGCGUGAGUGACGGUAAUGGGUAAAGAAGCACCGGCUAACUACGUG
RNAcentral lists this ribosomal RNA (468 nucleotides) under uncultured bacterium. RNAcentral describes it as "partial 16S ribosomal RNA". It matches the Rfam family "Bacterial small subunit ribosomal RNA", at positions 28 to 507 of the family's 1533-position model. The record is from RNAcentral.